This is a non-coding RNA of Macellibacteroides sp. HH-ZS, 100 nucleotides long. NCBI's taxonomy places the organism in Bacteria, Pseudomonadati, Bacteroidota, Bacteroidia, Bacteroidales, Porphyromonadaceae. The record is from Rfam.
AAUCACUGUUAGGGGUGCUCUUUUAUUAAAAGAGCUGAGAUAAUACCCUUGAACCUGAUAUGUUGUAAUCGACAUCGGAGGGAAACGGGAAGAAAAAAUA